This 845-nucleotide long non-coding RNA is filed under the name Androctonus crassicauda. Lineage: Eukaryota; Metazoa; Arthropoda; Arachnida; Scorpiones; Buthidae. The record is from RNAcentral.
AUUUCAAUAAAUAAAUUAAUUACUAAUUCAGGAAUUCCUGAAUCUUGAGAAAGCAAAAAGUUUGGGCAAACAUAAUCAUUGAAUGAAUACCAAAAAAAUCAUCAGUCUUCUCUGUUUCUUAGCAGUAUAAUCUUUGUUAUUUUCUUUGAAUGUAAAUAAACAAUAAAUCAUAUAGUAAAAUUUAAAUGUCACAAAAAUGUUGUUUUGUAUAAAAAAAAAAAUGUAUAAUUUCUAAUUUCAAUGCAUAUUGUCAGCCAUGUCAUGGUCAGAAACACUUCAAAUCCAUCAUCUAUCAGUCAUCCUACCAUAUACAUUCUCAUUUAUCAGCUAUAAACUCAUAUACCUCACAGGGUAGCAAGGACCUGUUAUAGAAUCAUAACCUCUCAGCCACACACCAUUUCCAUGACGGAGGAAGCAGUAUAGGGCUGCUGUCAUUGUUUGUGUCAUUAUGGCAUGUCAUUCUCUCCAAGUCUAUGGCCUCAAAAGUAGUGAAGCCUCUGGAACCAUUUACAGGUUUUAUUACGGUCGCUUGUCCCCAAUCAAUUAUCAGAUCUUGUUCAUCGCUCUAGUUGCCAAGGCUGUGGUCAAUCUACUGGCAAUUAUGUCAACUUUGUGCUCUUUUAGUCUUUUGUCCAGGCUCCUAGUAGUCCUCCCAACAUAAUACUGUAUGAUCCCUUUAUUGUUAUUAUAUAGGGGAAUCGAGUAUACCCUAAAUCUUCUUCUUCUUUUCAGGAUGAUAUCUUUUUUGUUACAUAAGAUGUUAAAAAUGGUAGGAUCCCUCUUGUGGGCCAUUUUAUACUUCCCUUCACUCAGUCUUAGCCACUUUUUUUGGUACUUGUUUGUAG